This 394-nucleotide ribosomal RNA is filed under the name uncultured Anaeromyxobacter sp. Its description in RNAcentral is "bacterial SSU rRNA". It matches the Rfam family "Bacterial small subunit ribosomal RNA", at positions 67 to 447 of the family's 1533-position model. The record is from RNAcentral. Lineage: Bacteria; Pseudomonadati; Myxococcota; Myxococcia; Myxococcales; Anaeromyxobacteraceae.
CGAGAAAGCCCGCAAGGGUGAGUAAAGCGGCGCACGGGUGCGUAACACGUGGGUAAUCUGCCCUAGAGUCCGGAAUAACUCGCCGAAAGGCGUGCUAAUGCCGGAUGAGACCUCGGGAGCCUCGGCUCCUGCGGGAAAAGGUGGCCUCUGUACACAAGCUAUCGCUCUGGGAUGAGCCCGCGGCCCAUCAGCUCGUUGGCGGGGUAAUGGCCCACCAAGGCUACGACGGGUAGCUGGUCUGAGAGGACGAUCAGCCACACUGGAACUGAGACACGGUCCAGACUCCUACGGGAGGCAGCAGUGGGGAAUCUUGCGCAAUGGGCGAAAGCCUGACGCAGCAACGCCGCGUGUGUGAUGAAGGUCUUCGGAUCGUAAAGCACUGUCGCGAGGGACG